Molecule: long non-coding RNA, 2539 nt
Organism: Peromyscus californicus insignis
Lineage: Eukaryota; Metazoa; Chordata; Mammalia; Rodentia; Cricetidae
Exons: 6
Source: RefSeq, a predicted model, not a curated record
UUCCUUCUACUUCCCGUGAUGGGCUUCUCGCCAGAUGAGGGCAAACAUACUUCCAUGAGAUGUGUACAGUCCCCAUCCGGACACCCAGUGCUGACGUUACAUCCUCUCGGGCAUUUCCUGUUUUCCCCUGGUUUGACUUGUGCAGAAAGCAGGCUCAAAAAAGGACUUGUUCCUCCCUGAAGACCAGCCCUCCCCACAGACUUGCUGGUGGCACCGUCAACCCCUCUCCCUCCGCAGGUUUCUUGUUUGGUGAUUUCAAGACAGGUGCAAUCUGCUUAGCCACUUCAAGACUGCAGCAGAACGAAGGGAGAAGAGAACACAAGGCGUUAGUGCCUGUGCCCUGGCUUCAUCGUGGAAAAGGUGGUCAGAGACUGGACGCCGGGCUGAGCGAGUCCGGACGCCGGGCUGAGCGAGUCCGGUCUUGACGGAAGUGUGAAACUCAAGUAUGAUUUAUUUGAACGGAGGGAGUGAGAGAUUGUGGCUUAAUGUUUUAUUGUGCAGCCAUCAUGCCAGCCACUAUGACCUUUAAGCCAUCAAACAGUUAGACAGAUAUUUUAUGUGCAUGGGUAUUUUUUCCCCCUGCAUAUACAUAUGUGUGUCACAUGCAUGCUUGGUUGCUGCAGAGGCCCGAAGAGGGUGUCAGGAACCAGAGUUACAGAUGGCUAUGAGCAUCCGUAUAGGUGCUGGGAAUUCAACCUGGGUCCUCUUGAAGAGCAGCCAGUGCUCUGAACUUCUGUGCCACCUCUCUGGGUAUUUUCUCUGGAUCGUCAAAUGAGUGUUGUGUUAUACCACAACUAAGAAUAAAAAACCCACACUAUCCGGAACCUUCUAUGAAGUUUUACACUGUAGCUGGGACAACACCGUGCAACCACACAAAACAGGGGAAUAAUAGUAUGGACUAGAAUUACAAGCUGUGUGCUGUGACAUGGUCUUCAUGAAAGAGGUGAGUUGGAGAAGAGGUGAUGAGAAAUGGAAGUGCUGAAAGUCUUCUCUGUAGCUUUAGUGCAGCAUUUCUCAACCUGUGGGUGGCGGACCCCCUCGGACCCUUUGGUAGGGGUCACCUAAGACUAUCGGAAAACACGGAUAUUUACAUUAUGGUUCACAACAGUAGCAACAUUACAGUUACAAAGUAGCAGCAAAAGUAAUUUUACGGUUGUGGGGGGGGGGGGUCGUCACCACACGAGGAACUGUGUCAGAGGGUCGCAGCACUAGGAAGGUUGAGAACCACUGCUUUAAUGUUCUGCUACACGUGGCUCCUGAAGUUCACCCUGAGCACCAACUGUGAUUUAAUUAGCAUCCUGCUCCUCCUGCACCGAAGCUGAGCCGGACACAGUCGGCGUGGUGUAUCUGUUUAUGGAUUCAUGAAUGUUCGAAGGAUCCCAGGUGGACAGAAAACAACGGGUAAAGGCAUUCAGGCAGGGGUGACAUCCUUGGAGAGUUUGAGAUGUCAUGUUCUUGAAGUUGGGAAGCAACAACACUAAGUCUGUGUUGUCUGGAGGACAACAUGAGAAGAAGCAAGAAGACCAGGCGCUCGCUGAAGGGGCUCUUAGGUCUUUGGUCCGGCAUAUUCUCCACUGAACUAGGAAGAGCGGGUAAGUGUGAUGGGACAUAAAACCUGAUUCUUCGCCACUUUUUACCUCUGGGACUUUGUUAUUCACUAACGCAGAUUCGAGAAGUGGAAGACAGUUCACAGAAUUUUACAGAUGCCAACAAUACUGUGGGAUCAUGGCCUGCUGUCUGUCCUGUGUAAGUGAGGUCACUGCCACUCAGGGAGCUUCAGAAAUGAUCAAAGGCUGACCAAACUAGACACCAGGAAUUCAAAGGUCUGGCUGCCUCUGACCUGGCGCCCACCGUCUGUAGCCCUGCGUUUUAAGCAGAAUGGAAGAAAAUCUAAUUAGAAAUCAAGGAAGGCAGUGCGAUCACCGUGGUAACAAGGAUGGCGCUGUAAUGUCGUUCACUGUGGCGUCCAAACACCUGUCGACCUCGGACCUUAUCCAAGCACGGAACUCAAUAUAGAAUCUUUCGUUGGCCUGGAGCUUGCCUGCUAGGCGAGUGUGCCUGGCCAGGCAGCCCUAGAGAUCUGCUUACCCCUGCCAUCCCAGUCUGAGAACACAAGCAGAUGCCACUUUGUAGGCUCUGAAGAUCGAACUCGGAACCUUGUGCUUGCAACACAAGUACUUUUACUAACAAAGCAAUCUUCACAGCUCCAGGUGUGAAGACCUCUUAAUGCCCCGACUCACUUUUUCAUAUCUGUCAAAUAAAAAUAGCAAUAUACUGUAGUGGGUAGCCAUUGGUCUGGAAGUUCCAACCCCUAUUGAGGCUUCGGUAACUAUCACGCGUACAAGGCGGGGCCAAGAGAGGGCCCUGAAGACCCAAGAUCCGGAUGCACCGCGCUUUGUUGUUUUCUUGGACCCUGGACACUAGAGGUAGACCAAGGGGAGUUUUCCAGAGAACACCGCCGGACUGCGCUACGUCUUUCCCAGAACCCACAACCUACCUAUCCCUUCCUUUGUAAGCUACGCCACUAAAUAAACCUCCC